GAUGCAGCGGCCUUUUAUCUUCCAAUGGGGACCCCGGAGGUUCAGUGGGUGGCUACAGAUUACAGGUUGCCUCAAAAGUACCCCAGGCCUCUGUUAUAAACAUGUAUUAUAUAAAUAUUUUGUAUCGACUACAGACACCUGUAGAAAUGGAAAAGCAAGUCUUGUCAACAAGAAAUGGAUGUCCACACACAAACCAAGAAAGAUUCUGAGAAAAAGUACACUAGUAGGUCAAAAUGCCCAAACGUAUCAUCUAGGCACCUAUCUUAAAAAGCAAGCAACGGGGCAGGUGGUUGUGGCGCACACGCCUUUAAUCCCGGUGCUCAGGAGUCAGAGGCAGGUGGACCUCUGACUUCCAGGCUAGCCUGGUCUACAGAGUUCUAAGAUACCCAAGGCUAUACGGAGAAAUCCUGCCUUUUAAAAAAAAAAAAAAAAA
RNAcentral lists this long non-coding RNA (433 nucleotides) under Rattus norvegicus (Norway rat). RNAcentral's name for it is "long non-coding RNA NONRATT008525". The record is from RNAcentral. Lineage: Eukaryota; Metazoa; Chordata; Mammalia; Rodentia; Muridae.